RNAcentral lists this ribosomal RNA (253 nucleotides) under uncultured bacterium. Its description in RNAcentral is "partial 16S ribosomal RNA". It matches the Rfam family "Bacterial small subunit ribosomal RNA", at positions 524 to 776 of the family's 1533-position model. The record is from RNAcentral.
UACAGAGGUCUCAAGCGUUGUUCGGAUUCAUUGGGCGUAAAGAGCGUGUAGGCGGCCUUACAGGUCAGCUGUGAAAACUCGAGGCUCAACCUCGAGACGUCGGUUGAAACCGUAUGGCUAGAGUCCGGAAGAGGAGAGUGGAAUUCCCGGUGUAGCGGUGAAAUGCGCAGAUAUCGGGAAGAACACCCGUGGCGAAGGCGGCUCUCUGGGACGGUACUGACGCUGAGACGCGAAAGCGUGGGGAGCGAACAGG